This 218-nucleotide unclassified non-coding RNA is filed under the name soil metagenome. Its description in RNAcentral is "partial contains 5.8S ribosomal RNA, internal transcribed spacer 2, and large subunit ribosomal RNA". The record is from RNAcentral.
AACAUCGCGCACCUGCGGGAACCUGCGGAAGGAUCAUUAUCGAGUUUACAACUCCCAAACCCCUGUGAACAUACCAAUCGUUGCCUCGGCGGGACCGCCCCGGCGCCCCCGGGCCCGGACCCAGGCGCCCGCCGGAGGACCCCCAAACUCACUUGAUUCCACGGUGUAUCUUCUGAGUGACACAAGCAAAUAAAAUCAAAACUUUCAACAAUGGAUCU